Pelobates cultripes (western spadefoot toad) is the source of this 419-nucleotide non-coding RNA. The record is from the annotation of a GenBank genome assembly. Lineage: Eukaryota; Metazoa; Chordata; Amphibia; Anura; Pelobatidae.
GGACACUGGGAGACAUGGGGACACUGUGUCCCCAUGUGUCUGUGUCAUAAUGUCCCCCAAUGUCCCUUAGUGUCUCAGUGUCCCCAUGUCUCCUAGCAGCCUAUCCCCCCAUCCCUUACUUCCCUGAGCUGUAGGCUGUCUCUGCAGGUUGGGAGUUGCUGUCUGGACUCUCUGUAGCUGCACCCCUGCAGAUCAGUGAGUAUAGAUAGGCAGGGAAGGAUAUGCUGGAACUUCCUAUCCCUAACUGUCUCCACACACAGUGACCCCUACUGGCCAGUGCUGGUAUUGCAUAGUAAUCUCUUGUUUAUACUGGGAAAAAUACCAGCAUUUGUAUUGCCAGUAUCACUGUAAUAUUGGCACCAGCCAGGCAGCCUCAAAUACUGGUUGUGCCAAUGAAAUAAAAGCCAGGUGGAAUCCCU